CACGUAGGGUGCGAGCGUUGUCCGGAAUUAUUGGGCGUAAAGAGCUCGUAGGCGGUCUGUCGCGUCGGUCGUGAAAACUUGGGGCUUAACCCUGAGCUUGCGGUCGAUACGGGCAUGACUGGAGUUCGGCAGGGGAGACUGGAAUUCCUGGUGUAGCGGUGAAAUGCGCAGAUAUCAGGAGGAACACCGGUGGCGAAGGCGGGUCUCUGGGCCGUAACUGACGCUGAGGAGCGAAAGCGUGGGGAGCGAACAGG
Molecule: ribosomal RNA, 254 nt
Filed under: uncultured bacterium
Lineage: Bacteria
Description: partial 16S ribosomal RNA
Rfam family: Bacterial small subunit ribosomal RNA
Source: RNAcentral